Molecule: ribosomal RNA, 420 nt
Filed under: uncultured bacterium
Lineage: Bacteria
Description: bacterial SSU rRNA
Rfam family: Bacterial small subunit ribosomal RNA
Source: RNAcentral
GAGGAAUAUUGGACAAUGGGCGCAAGCCUGAUCCAGCCAUGCCGCGUGCAGGAUGAAGCAUCUAUGGUGUGUAAACUGCUUUUGUACGAGAAGAAACAUCCCUACGUGUAGGGACUUGACGGUAUCGUAAGAAUAAGGAUCGGCUAACUCCGUGCCAGCAGCCGCGGUAAUACGGAGGAUCCAAGCGUUAUCCGGAAUCAUUGGGUUUAAAGGGUCCGUAGGCGGUCUUAUAAGUCAGUGGUGAAAUCUCCCCGCUCAACGGGGAAACGGCCAUUGAUACUGUAGGACUUGAAUUAUUAGGAAGUAACUAGAAUAUGUAGUGUAGCGGUGAAAUGCUUAGAGAUUACAUGGAAUACCAAUUGCGAAGGCAGGUUACUACUAAUGGAUUGACGCUGAUGGACGAAAGCGUGGGUAGCGAAC